ACGAUAUGCUUUGGGGAGCUGUAAGUAAGCUUUGAUCCAGAGAUUUCCGAAUGGGGAAACCCAGCAUGAGUUAUGUCAUGUUAUCGAUAUGUGAAUACAUAGCAUAUCAGAAGGCACACCCGGAGAACUGAAACAUCUUAGUACCCGGAGGAAGAGAAAGAAAAUUCGAUUCCCUUAGUAGCGGCGAGCGAAACGGGAAGAGCCCAAACCAACAAGCUUGCUUGUUGGGGUUGUAGGACACUCUAUACGGAGUUACAAAGGACGACAUUAGACGAAUCAUCUGGAAAGAUGAAUCAAAGAAGGUAAUAAUCCUGUAGUCGAAAAUGUUGUCUCUCUUGAGUGGAUCCUGAGUACGACGGAGCACGUGAAAUUCCGUCGGAAUCUGGGAGGACCAUCUCCUAAGGCUAAAUACUCUCUAGUGACCGAUAGUGAACCAGUACCGUGAGGGAAAGGUGAAAAGCACCCCGGAAGGGGAGUGAAAUAGAACCUGAAACCGUGUGCUUACAAGUAGUCAGAGCCCGUUAAUGGGUGAUGGCGUGCCUUUUGUAGAAUGAACCGGCGAGUUACGAUUUGAUGCAAGGUUAAGCAGUAAAUGUGGAGCCGUAGCGAAAGCGAGUCUGAAUAGGGCGUUUAGUAUUUGGUCGUAGACCCGAAACCAGGUGAUCUACCCUUGGUCAGGUUGAAGUUCAGGUAACACUGAAUGGAGGACCGAACCGACUUACGUUGAAAAGUGAGCGGAUGAACUGAGGGUAGCGGAGAAAUUCCAAUCGAACCUGGAGAUAGCUGGUUCUCUCCGAAAUAGCUUUAGGGCUAGCCUCAAGUGAUGAUUAUUGGAGGUAGAGCACUGUUUGGACGAGGGGCCCCUCUCGGGUUACCGAAUUCAGACAAACUCCGAAUGCCAAUUAAUUUAACUUGGGAGUCAGAACAUGGGUGAUAAGGUCCRUGUUCGAAAGGGAAACAGCCCAGACCACCAGCUAAGGUCCCAAAAUAUAUGUUAAGUGGAAAAGGAUGUGGCGUUGCCCAGACAACUAGGAUGUUGGCUUAGAAGCAGCCAUCAUUUAAAGAGUGCGUAAUAGCUCACUAGUCGAGUGACACUGCGCCGAAAAUGUACCGGGGCUAAACAUAUUACCGAAGCUGUGGAUUGUCCUUUGGACAAUGGUAGGAGAGCGUUCUAAGGGCGUUGAAGCAUGAUCGUAAGGACAUGUGGAGCGCUUAGAAGUGAGAAUGCCGGUGUGAGUAGCGAAAGAYGGGUGAGAAUCCCGUCCACCGAUUGACUAAGGUUUCCAGAGGAAGGCUCGUCCGCUCUGGGUUAGUCGGGUCCUAAGCUGAGGCCGACAGGCGUAGGCGAUGGAUAACAGGUUGAUAUUCCUGUACCACCUAUAAUCGUUUUAAUCGAUGGGGGGACGCAGUAGGAUAGGCGAAGCGUGCGAUUGGAUUGCACGUCUAAGCAGUAAGGCUGAGUAUUAGGCAAAUCCGGUACUCGUUAAGGCUGAGCUGUGAUGGGGAGAAGACAUUGUGUCUUCGAGUCGUUGAUUUCACACUGCCGAGAAAAGCCUCUAGAUAGAAAAUAGGUGCCCGUACCGCAAACCGACACAGGUAGUCAAGAUGAGAAUUCUAAGGUGAGCGAGCGAACUCUCGUUAAGGAACUCGGCAAAAUGACCCCGUAACUUCGGGAGAAGGGGUGCUCUUUAGGGUUAACGCCCAGAAGAGCCGCAGUGAAUAGGCCCAAGCGACUGUUUAUCAAAAACACAGGUCUCUGCUAAACCGUAAGGUGAUGUAUAGGGGCUGACGCCUGCCCGGUGCUGGAAGGUUAAGAGGAGUGGUUAGCUUCUGCGAAGCUACGAAUCGAAGCCCCAGUAAACGGCGGCCGUAACUAUAACGGUCCUAAGGUAGCGAAAUUCCUUGUCGGGUAAGUUCCGACCCGCACGAAAGGCGUAACGAUUUGGGCACUGUCUCAACGAGAGACUCGGUGAAAUCAUAGUACCUGUGAAGAUGCAGGUUACCCGCGACAGGACGGAAAGACCCCGUGGAGCUUUACUGUAGCCUGAUAUUGAAAUUCGGCACAGCUUGUACAGGAUAGGUAGGAGCCUUUGAAACGUGAGCGCUAGCUUACGUGGAGGCGCUGGUGGGAUACUACCCUAGCUGUGUUGGCUUUCUAACCCGCACCACUUAUCGUGGUGGGAGACAGUGUCAGGCGGGCAGUUUGACUGGGGCGGUCGCCUCCUAAAAGGUAACGGAGGCGCUCAAAGGUUYCCUCAGAAUGGUUGGAAAUCAUUCAUAGAGUGUAAAGGCAUAAGGGAGCUUGACUGCGAGACCUACAAGUCGAGCAGGGUCGAAAGACGGACUUAGUGAUCCGGUGGUUCCGCAUGGAAGGGCCAUCGCUCAACGGAUAAAAGCUACCCCGGGGAUAACAGGCUUAUCUCCCCCAAGAGUUCACAUCGACGGGGAGGUUUGGCACCUCGAUGUCGGCUCAUCGCAUCCUGGGGCUGUAGUCGGUCCCAAGGGUUGGGCUGUUCGCCCAUUAAAGCGGUACGCGAGCUGGGUUCAGAACGUCGUGAGACAGUUCGGUCCCUAUCCGUCGUGGGCGUAGGAAAUUUGAGAGGAGCUGUCCUUAGUACGAGAGGACCGGGAUGGACAUACCUCUGGUGUACCAGUUGUCGUGCCAACGGCAUAGCUGGGUAGCUAUGUGUGGACGGGAUAAGUGCUGAAAGCAUCUAAGCAUGAAGCCCCCCUCAAGAUGAGAUUUCCCAACUUCGGUUAU
This 2761-nucleotide ribosomal RNA is filed under the name Staphylococcus aureus. Its description in RNAcentral is "bacterial LSU rRNA". The record is from RNAcentral. Lineage: Bacteria; Bacillati; Bacillota; Bacilli; Caryophanales; Staphylococcaceae.